AUGGACAUGAAGGCCCCUGUUCAGCUCUGGGGCUCCUGCUACUCUGGCUCCUAGGUGCCAGAUGUUCCGGCCAAACAGUAACCCAGAGUCCAUCCGUGGUGUCUGCACCUGUGGGAGGCACAGCCACCAUCAACUGCCAGUCAAGUCAGAGUGUUUACAACAACAAUGCUCUAUACUGGUAUCAGCAGAAACCAGGGCAACCUCCAAAGCUCCUGAUCUAUGAUGCAUCCAAAUUAGCCUCUGGGGUCCCCUCGAGGUUCAAGGGCAGUGGCUCUGGGGCAUCAUUCACUCUCACCAUCAGCGGGGUGCAGGCUGAGGAUGCAGGAAUCUACUACUGUGCUGGAGCUUAUAGUGGUUACAUUUACACAAUGAUACAAGCCUGAACAAAAAACUCCCAGGGAAGCAGAAGUGUGAGUGUGUGCUGCCCCAGCUGCUCCUCCUGAAGCCUCUAUCUGCUGACAGACAUUAUUACAUGUAGUCUGUCUUUCAUGGUCAGUGGAGUGUAAUUAGAAAGAACUCUGGGCUCCCUUAUAUCCUCC
Molecule: non-coding RNA, 539 nt
Organism: Ochotona curzoniae (black-lipped pika)
Lineage: Eukaryota; Metazoa; Chordata; Mammalia; Lagomorpha; Ochotonidae
Source: the annotation of a RefSeq genome assembly